RNAcentral lists this ribosomal RNA (225 nucleotides) under uncultured Glomeromycotina. RNAcentral describes it as "partial 28S ribosomal RNA". Lineage: Eukaryota; Fungi; Glomeromycota. The record is from RNAcentral.
AAAAUGGCUGGAGGAAUGUAGCUUCGAUCUCGUAUUGAUGUGUUAUAGCUUCGGCAGAUGUGAUGAUCGGGAUUGAGGAUUGCAACGGAUACCUUUCGGGGCUAUCCUCUGUCCUCUGAAAGUCGCUCGGGAGUUGAAAGCGUGCUUAUGACUAUUCGAGUUGGCGUCAAUAGGUUAGAACGUGAUUAUAUUCGUUAAGGAUGUUGACGUAAUGGCUUUAAACGA